UGAAAAGUUUCUUAAUCUUGAGCUGUCUUCCCAAGGGAGGGAAAGAUGAUCUUGUCUUAAUCCUUGGAUUAUGAGAAUAUACUUUAUGCAGUUCGCUUGUAAGCAUGAAACUCAUAAUGCUAUGCAAGAUAUACUCUUUAUACCCUGAGGAAUCUUUUCCUACUCUGUAUUUUUGCUGCUCUGUAUCAAAAACGCCUUUUUCCUUUCGAGCUUUCCCCCUCCUUCAAAUAAUUCCAAAUACUUUUUUGUGUUGUUAUUCUAUAGAGCUGUAUGUGCUCUUUAAGAAAAAAAAUCCAGAUUAAGAGCAGUUUAAUUGUAACUCUCUGGCAUCAAAAGUAAGUUGAAGAUGGUUCAAAACUCUCGUGGAACUUCAGGAAAUGACUUUUCCUUAGACUUUUUCUCUCUUUGAGUAAUUUGAAUAAUUCAGGAACUGAUAAACCAGGAUAACCAUCACUAAGAGUGAUGUAAAAUAAAGCCUUUCCAGGAUAGUGACAGAAAGUGCAAGGAAUUUAAAAUGAAUUGUGAAAUCAAGAUUGUUGUUCUCCCAGUAUGGCUGAUUAAGUUUUUCAUGACAUUAAAUGUUUUCAGCUCGGCUACGUGAGGAGAAAGCCAACUACUGUUUUGUUAGGUGGCUCAGACGUCUGGAGGCUUUCGUACAAGACUGGGAACUCAGCGCAUGGGGAAUGAAUGAAGUUCACAAAAGAAGAGGUGACUUUCCCUCCUAUCCUGGAUCUCUCCUGCAAUUAGCAAUGCCCAGUAUGCACUUGCUUUUGAACUAAUUAAAUCAUCCGUACUCUAAUGAUUCUUCUCCUCCUGCCAAGUCUGAGACGAGAUCCCAGAGUGGGGCUGUCUUGCUGCAGUGAGGUGAGAUGAAUUACAGGUUCAGCUGCAAGGCAAAGCAGCCUGGCCUCUUGGGUGCUAGCCCAGUGCUCCAAGGAUAUGGGUCCACUUUUUGUACUUCAGUGGUGUUUUCUGCGUGGCGGUGGAAAACACCAAGUCUCACAAAAUCAGCUCUCCAAAUGCUCUUGACAGUGGAGGCUGUGCAGGCUAUCCCAAUGGCCAGAAGCACCUCUGGAAAAGGAAGAAAGUGUUGCAAAGCAUUGCAGGGUGCUGUGUGUCUGCUGAAGUACAGCAGUGCUCUGUUGGCAACUCUGUGUUCCUACCACCAGGUCCCCACAGCUGGAGCUGCUUGAGGCACCCUGGCUCACUCCAGCAUGCUCUCCUUCAAAUGCUAAGGAAAAAAAAAACCUACACCUUCCCCAAGGAAUUCGCAAUUGAAAUGAGGCUAAUGUGAUCAUCCUAAGGUACCUGAAAAACAGUGUUAAAAGUCUGCAAUUGAUGCUCCAAUGUUUGGGAAAUGGUGAAUCACUCCAGCUGAAAUUAGUGAAGACUUGGGACGUGGAGGGCAGAAGACUGAAGAAUGAUUAAAUCCAGGAAUCUGCUAAUGCAAAUAACCUACUUCGGUAAUAAAUUUUACAAACUGUCAUAAGUGUUAUUUGAAACUCAAGCUGUAAUGCAUUAAAGCAAAUGUUCCCAGGGUUUUCAGCAUAAUAAUCUGGGUCCUUUCCAUUUUUUAUUUAUAGAAGUUGAGACGUCUCAGUUAUAUUAACAUUAUGCUUUCCUGGGUCAUAACCACAAAUGAUAACUUCCGAAUAUUCCCAAAUGCUGAAUUAACAAAAGCCUUAAUUUGAAGUUAUUCCCAUUGGUAAAGUUAAGUGCUACAUGAUGUAUUUCCAAGUUUUCAUCUGAAGACUUGCUUUUUCUUUUUGUAAUACUUAAGAUCAGCAAUUCAACAUUUUUUUUUUUAACAAAGACUCAAACUUUAACAUACCUGUCCAGAAUCAUGCCUUAUCCAAAACAUC
Molecule: long non-coding RNA, 1862 nt
Filed under: Gallus gallus (chicken)
Lineage: Eukaryota; Metazoa; Chordata; Aves; Galliformes; Phasianidae
Description: lncRNA (ENSGALG00010014251.1)
Source: RNAcentral